Molecule: transfer RNA, 65 nt
Filed under: Gyrodactylus brachymystacis
Lineage: Eukaryota; Metazoa; Platyhelminthes; Monogenea; Gyrodactylidea; Gyrodactylidae
Description: tRNA-Val
Source: RNAcentral
UUUGGUAGAGUUCUCCGGAAUAUGUGCGUUACAAGCACAAGGGUUUAUUUAUUUAAAUGCCAAAA